UGUUUUUUAGUAUAAAUAAAUAUGUUCAGUUUCGACCUGAAGGAUUCCGUUGGAAAAAACAU
This 62-nucleotide transfer RNA is filed under the name Pediculus schaeffi. Its description in RNAcentral is "tRNA-Arg". Lineage: Eukaryota; Metazoa; Arthropoda; Insecta; Psocodea; Pediculidae. The record is from RNAcentral.